GACGAACGCUGGCGGCGUGCUUAACACAUGCAAGUCGAACGGAAAGGCCUCUUUCGGGGGGUACUCGAGUGGCGAACGGGUGAGUAACACGUGAGUAACCUGCCCUUGACUUUGGGAUAACUUCAGGAAACUGGGGCUAAUACCGGAUAGGAGCUCCUGCUGCAUGGGGGGGGUUGGAAAGUUUCGGCGGUUGGGGAUGGACUCGCGGCUUAUCCGCUUGUUGGUGGGGUAGUGGCUUACCAAGGCUUUGACGGGUAGCCGGCCUGAGAGGGUGACCGGCCACAUUGGGACUGAGAUACGGCCCAGACUGCUACGGGAGGCAGCAGUGGGGAAUAUUGCACAAUGGGUGGAAGCCUGAUGCAGCAACGCCGUGUGCGGGAUGACGGCCUUCGGGUUGUAAACCGCUUUCGCUCAUGACGAAGCUUUGUGUGACGGUAGUGGGUAAAGAAGCACCGGCUAACUACGUG
Molecule: ribosomal RNA, 467 nt
Filed under: uncultured bacterium
Lineage: Bacteria
Description: partial 16S ribosomal RNA
Rfam family: Bacterial small subunit ribosomal RNA
Source: RNAcentral